CCCUGUAUUCGAAAGUGACUGUGGGCUGCCUGUGUCCCAGUCAUUGGUAGUGCAGGGAGAGCAAUGGCGGAAAGACACUCCCCAUGUUGGGAGGGCUCCCCAUCCCUUCUGAACCCUGGAACUUUACCACA
Perognathus longimembris pacificus (Pacific pocket mouse) is the source of this 131-nucleotide small nucleolar RNA. RefSeq annotates it as small nucleolar RNA SNORA71. The record is from RefSeq and is a predicted model, not a curated record. The transcript has a single exon. Lineage: Eukaryota; Metazoa; Chordata; Mammalia; Rodentia; Heteromyidae.